UUGAUGAACUGUUCGGUGCCCUCACUGACAGCAAUGUUGUGCUCACCAAGACGCACCUGGACGCGGCUGCAGAAAAAUACAUGAAGAUCACAGAGGGCUUGUGGUGAAAUUUGAAUCCAAAAUGUAAUCUCUUCACUUACGACUUGUAGCAGUGAGCAGCAGACACCACCCAGAUGCUGGAGAUCAGGGAACCUCCACAGAAGUGGUAGCCAGCAUUCAGGGACACCUGAUACAAGAACUCACAAGCUGUGGCAAACAGGGCCAGGAGAAUGAAGUACUUCAUGGUUGUGUUCUGCACCUACUGAAUCUACAAAUAAC
This is a long non-coding RNA of Thunnus maccoyii (southern bluefin tuna), 318 nucleotides long. RefSeq lists it as uncharacterized. The record is from RefSeq and is a predicted model, not a curated record. NCBI's taxonomy places the organism in Eukaryota, Metazoa, Chordata, Actinopteri, Scombriformes, Scombridae. The transcript is spliced from 3 exons.